This 69-nucleotide transfer RNA is filed under the name Bos taurus (domestic cattle). It matches the Rfam family "tRNA". Rfam says of the family: Transfer RNA (tRNA) molecules are approximately 80 nucleotides in length. Their secondary structure includes four short double-helical elements and three loops (D, anti-codon, and T loops). Further hydrogen bonds mediate the characteristic L-shaped molecular structure. tRNAs have two regions of fundamental functional importance: the anti-codon, which is responsible for specific mRNA codon recognition, and the 3' end, to which the tRNAs corresponding amino acid is attached (by aminoacyl-tRNA synthetases). tRNAs cope with the degeneracy of the genetic code in two manners: having more than one tRNA (with a specific anti-codon) for a particular amino acid; and 'wobble' base-pairing, i.e. permitting non-standard base-pairing at the 3rd anti-codon position. RNAcentral also lists the same sequence under 5 other names. Lineage: Eukaryota; Metazoa; Chordata; Mammalia; Artiodactyla; Bovidae. The record is from Rfam by way of RNAcentral.
CCUGGUGGCUUAGAUGGUAAAGAAUCUGCCUGCAAUGCAGAAGACCAAGGUUUGAUUCUUGGGCCAGGA